UUCUCGUUGGUAUAGUGGUGAGUAUCCCCGCCUGUCACGCGGGAGACCGGGGUUCGAUUCCCCGACGGGGAG
RNAcentral lists this transfer RNA (72 nucleotides) under Xiphophorus maculatus (southern platyfish). It matches the Rfam family "tRNA". Rfam says of the family: Transfer RNA (tRNA) molecules are approximately 80 nucleotides in length. Their secondary structure includes four short double-helical elements and three loops (D, anti-codon, and T loops). Further hydrogen bonds mediate the characteristic L-shaped molecular structure. tRNAs have two regions of fundamental functional importance: the anti-codon, which is responsible for specific mRNA codon recognition, and the 3' end, to which the tRNAs corresponding amino acid is attached (by aminoacyl-tRNA synthetases). tRNAs cope with the degeneracy of the genetic code in two manners: having more than one tRNA (with a specific anti-codon) for a particular amino acid; and 'wobble' base-pairing, i.e. permitting non-standard base-pairing at the 3rd anti-codon position. The record is from Rfam by way of RNAcentral. Lineage: Eukaryota; Metazoa; Chordata; Actinopteri; Cyprinodontiformes; Poeciliidae.